AAAAGCGCCUUCAGAGCUUGUUGGUUUUAUUUUUAUUUUUAUUUUUAUAUGUUUAUAAAUUAAGCCAAUAAUAUACAAAUUGAUUUAUGAAUUAGAGGAAGUUCAGUGAGUGGCCUACUUAUGUGUUGAGUAUGAACUAUUCUAAGAAUUGGGAAAGUUGAAAAGUUCAUACUUAAGAGCUUGUGAACAAUGGUGAGCAUAUAACUAACAUGAGAACUAGAAUUGUUUUGUAAUUACAUUGAAAGAACUACGUGUGAAUUGAUCCUUUGUUAAAGGUACGUAGGCAACCUAGAGUUACUAGGUGCAGCCACAAGAUUAAGUGCUUAAAGUUUGUUUGGUUAAGUUAUUUUGGAACUUGAUAAUGUAUUUAUGUUGUUCUAAGAGUUGAGACUAGUUUCAAUUGACAAAAUGAUUUAUUUAGUAUAAGGAGGCCUGGGGCCAUAAGGAUUUGAUGUUUGCC
This 460-nucleotide long non-coding RNA is filed under the name Prunus persica (peach). RNAcentral's name for it is "long non-coding RNA (PPER_LNC000449)". The record is from RNAcentral. Lineage: Eukaryota; Viridiplantae; Streptophyta; Magnoliopsida; Rosales; Rosaceae.